Molecule: ribosomal RNA, 431 nt
Filed under: uncultured bacterium
Lineage: Bacteria
Description: partial 16S ribosomal RNA
Rfam family: Bacterial small subunit ribosomal RNA
Source: RNAcentral
CCUACGGGUGGCAGCAGUCGAGAAUUUUUCUCAAUGGGGGAAACCCUGAAGGAGCGACGCCGCGUGGAGGAUGAAGGUCUUCGGAUUGUAAACUCCUGUCAUUAGAGAACUAGUAUCUGAAGAGGAAGAGACGGCUAACUCUGUGCCAGCAGCCGCGGUAAUACAGAGGUCUCAAGCGUUGUUCGGAUUCAUUGGGCGUAAAGGGUGCGCAGGUGGCGCGGCAAGUCGGAUGUGAAAUCCCGGGGCUCAACCCUGGAACUGCAUUCGAUACUGCCGUGCUAGAGUGCUGGAGAGGAGAUUGGAAUUUACGGUGUAGCAGUGAAAUGCGUAGAUAUCGUAAGGAAGACCAGUGGCGAAGGCGGAUCUCUGGACAGUCUGACACUGAGGCACGAAGGCCAGGGGAGCAAACGGGAUUAGAUACCCUUGUAGUC